GGAGGCUUGGGGGAGUGGUUUAACCCAGCAGUCUUGAAAACUGCCGACCGGUAACGGUCCGUGAGUUCGAAUCUCACAGCCUCCGCCA
Molecule: transfer RNA, 88 nt
Filed under: Inhella gelatinilytica
Lineage: Bacteria; Pseudomonadati; Pseudomonadota; Betaproteobacteria; Burkholderiales; Sphaerotilaceae
Description: tRNA-Ser
Rfam family: tRNA
About the family: Transfer RNA (tRNA) molecules are approximately 80 nucleotides in length. Their secondary structure includes four short double-helical elements and three loops (D, anti-codon, and T loops).
Source: RNAcentral